UGAGGAGUGGAUGGCAGACAUAGCAUUUUGGAAAGACCCAUGAAAGGACACAUGAUGUUUGGCAAGAGUAUGACUAGGACUCAACAGACAGUGAUCUCGAAUCUUCACCUUUGCCGAUCUUCACUUCACUGAGAGAGACUUCUUCACCUGGCAGAGAAGUUUGCCUGGCACCCCUGACGGCCCUGGUUGCUGCUGGUGACUCAUGCUGAUUCUGCAGAGGCCCAGCAGCUUCUGCUAGGUUGUGCCACUGCUGCUGAUUCCUAUUGGGUACCUUGACACUACAGAACUGGACUGCUGGUGUCCAGACAGAAAUUGAAAUCACCCCAAGGAGCUGCUUCUAAGCAGGACCACACCCCUGUCCUAUUUACAAUCUUUCUCCCCUACCUUAAACAGUAAGCUGGGGUGGGGGUGGUUUGAAGCAUUUGAGCACCCUUAUUAAAAAUAGAUUUUUUAAAAUAUCUAA
RNAcentral lists this long non-coding RNA (463 nucleotides) under Rattus norvegicus (Norway rat). Its description in RNAcentral is "long non-coding RNA NONRATT015086". Lineage: Eukaryota; Metazoa; Chordata; Mammalia; Rodentia; Muridae. The record is from RNAcentral.